Long non-coding RNA from Passer domesticus (house sparrow), 1921 nucleotides. RefSeq lists it as uncharacterized. NCBI's taxonomy places the organism in Eukaryota, Metazoa, Chordata, Aves, Passeriformes, Passeridae. The record is from RefSeq and is a predicted model, not a curated record. The transcript is spliced from 2 exons.
GGCAGCAAGGAGCGGGGGAUGCGCCUGUGGAGGGGAUAGGGGAGACUUCACUGGGAUGGGAGGUUGGGGGAGAUUUGGGCUUCUCAGCUUCAUGGAGGGAUUUGGGAGGUUUCAUUGGAGGUGGGAGGUUGGAGAAGGUUUAAGGGGUUGUUAGCAUGGAGAUAUGGAAGGGGGGGUUUUGUGUUCUCAGCUUCAUGAAGGGAUUUGUGGGGUUUCAUUGGAGAUGGGAGAUUGGAGAGGGUUUAAGGGGUUUGUUAAGAUGGAGGUAUGGGAGGGGGGGUUUGGGAUUCUCAAAUUCGUGGAGGGUUUUGGGGGAUUUCAUUGGAUUUGGGAGGUUGGAAAGGGUUUAAGGGGUUUGUUAGGGUGGCUGUAUGGAAGAUAGGGUUUGGGGCUUUCAACUUCAUGGGGGGAUUUGGGGGUUUCAUUGGAGUUGGAAAGUUGGAGAGAAUUUAGGGGUUUCAUUGGAACUGGGAGGUUGGAGAGGGCUUGGGGUUCUUUGGGAUAGGGGUAUGGUGGAUUUGGGGUUCUCAGCUGCAUGGAGGGAUUUCAGAUUUUUGUUGGUGUUGGAAGUUUAGAGAAGGUUUAGGGGUUUUAUUGGUAUUUGGGGUUCUCAACUGCAUGGAGGGAUUCGGGGGUUUUGUUUGAGUUGGGAGGUUGGAAAGGGGUUUAGGGGUUUAGUUAGAGAGGGGCUUUAGGGGGAUUUGGGUGUUUCUUUGGAGUUAGGAGUUGGAGAGGGUUUAGGGGUUUUGCUUGGAUUGGGAUUUGGGGUUGUCAACUGAAUGGAGAAGGAGAAUUUCACUGGGACAGGGAUGUGGGGUUGGGAUUUGGGGUUCUCAACUUCAUGGGGGUGUUCAGGGGUUUUGUUAGAGUUGGAGGGUUGGGGAGGAUUUUGGGGUUUCAUUAAGAUGGGGAUUUGUGGAAAUCUGGGAGGAGAUUUGGGUUUCUCAAUUACAUGGGGAGAUUUGGGGGUUACAUUCAAUUUAGGAGUGGAUUUGGGAUUUCCAUUGGGAUGGGGGCUUGGGGGGUGGUGGGAUUCCUGCCUGCAUGGAGGCAGUUUGGAAUAUUCAUCAGGAUGAAGAUUUUGGAAAGAUUUGGGUUUUGUGUUAGGGAGAGCCAUUUGAGGGGAGAUUUGUCAUUCCCAUCUGUGUGGGGAAUUUGGAUUUUCAUUGGAUUUGGGGUGUUGGGGAGGCUUUGGGAUUUUUAUUGGAAUGAAAGGAGUGAGGAUGAUUUAGUAUUUCAACCUACAUAGGAAUGAUUUGGGGGGUUUCACUGAAGCCAAGAGUGGACUUGGGGAUUUUAUUAUGGUGAAAACUUGUGGGAGAUUGGGAGUGAUGGUGGUUUGUGAAUUGAUUUUGGAUUCCACCCACAUGAACAAGGAUUUAGGAUUUUUGUUUGGAUGCUGACCUGGGGAUCUCUUUGGGAUUCCUACCUGCAUGGCAAAAAUGUGUGGGUUUUAUCAGGAUGAGCAUAUGGGGGUGGAUUUGGGAUUUUCAUCUGGAUGAGGAUUUGGGGUUUGAUUUCAGAUUCACAUCCAGGUGUGGGUUACUUGAGGAUUUUCAUCCAUACUGGGUCAUUUUCACAGGAUGUUUCCUGGCAAGGAGUGCUCACUGCAGCUGGGAGGAGACUGAAAAUAAACUCAGGGCUUUGCACUGAAUUCUCCUCUUGGCUCUGCUGGAUCCAGCUAAACCAGGAACCUUCCCAGCCUGGACCCAGAGGUGGCAAAGACAACCUUCACUCCAAAAAGGACUUUUCAAAUGUUGUUCUAUUGAUCUCUUCAGUUAAAGGUGGACAUUAUUCUUGUUGCAAGGUCACCUUCAGAAGAUGAGGACACGCUUGGCUCAGCCCUCCCUGCUUUGCAUUUUAUCCCCAGAAAAGGUUUCUUGUCCUGAUUUAACUUCUGGGUCAGUUAAUAAAAUUUUUU